Molecule: long non-coding RNA, 1207 nt
Filed under: Nicotiana benthamiana
Lineage: Eukaryota; Viridiplantae; Streptophyta; Magnoliopsida; Solanales; Solanaceae
Description: long non-coding RNA (NBEN_LNC030469)
Source: RNAcentral
GAUUGAAAACAGCCUCUCUGCCCUUUCGGAUAGGGGUAAGGCUCGUCUACAUAUUACCCUCCCCAGACCCCACUUUGUGGGACUAUACUGAGUAAUUGUUGUUGUUGUUAUUUUAUCAAUCAGGGAAAGGUUAGGAGAUGGUGCAGAGAAUGAUUGAUAAACUGUUGUAUCAGGUGGCGGAAUUUUAAGGAAUUUGAAGAUAAGAACUACUUAGAUCAUUCUUACUGCGUCUUCUUUCGUGCUAUGGUAAUGAAUGUCAUUGAACAGCUAUUGGAAAUGUCCAAACUUCUUUUAUUUCUCUGUUUAGUUACAUAUAUCUUUUACUGCAACUCGGGAUCAUAAACUUGAAGCAGUAAUAAUAAAACAACCUCAAGAAGUGGGCAUGCCUGCAUCAAUGUUUUUAUUUUGUGGCAGUGAUCUCGGGACCAGCUUGUGCACACAACACUACUAUUCUACCGAGUACUAGCUAUCUCUCACUUUAAACAUGUGGUUUCCCAUGGUUCUCAUCUCAUUUCAUUUAUGGGUAAACUGGUGUUGUCUGCAAAAUCGUUGCUUGCAUGUGCUUUUCCAUACCUCUGUACCCGGUACCUUGAUCAGUAUCUUGCUGUAAUAGAUGUUCAAGACCUUUAUUGUCUCGUUACAUUUGAACUUUUUUUGUAUUACCGUGGUAAUGAUUUAUGGAAGGGAGCCUUAGCGUAACUGAUAAAGUUACUGCCAUAUGAUCAGGAGGUCACGAGUUUGAGCCGUAGAAAUAGCCUUUUGCAGAAAUGUAAGGUAAGACUGCUUAUGAUAGACUAUUGUGGUCCCGCCUUUUCGCGGACCAUGCCCACAGCGGAAGCUUAGUGCACCGGACUGCCAUGGUAAUGAUUUAUGGAGAUAUGAUGGUAUUUUACAUUUUAGGAUAUCAAAUCACAAUUCCGUGGAUGAAUUUUUAUUUUUAUGAUGUGGACUGCAAAAUCUGAAGACGUCUAGAAGAGUGUCUUUGGUGAAUAAUCUUACCAAUAAUCUGGAGAAUUAGUGGUAACAAGUUUCACUACUAUGUUUACUCUGCUUUUGAUUAUUGUAGAAUACUACUUAAUCUUUUCAUUAUUAGCUUAAGAUUACCAGCAGAUGUGCGGGGAAGUCCAAUGUUUAUUUGCUUAUCUAAAUUCAUUUACGUAUUGUUUGGAUGGUUGUUUUCCGUUGUAUUGUAUUGUAUUGUUACCCC